CAGAUUCUAGUAAAUUAAUUACAUGACCCUGUCAGCGUCAAAUUACAGGUUAAAACCUGUGAAUCUCA
Molecule: transfer RNA, 68 nt
Filed under: Shinisaurus crocodilurus (Chinese crocodile lizard)
Lineage: Eukaryota; Metazoa; Chordata; Lepidosauria; Squamata; Shinisauridae
Description: tRNA-Asp
Source: RNAcentral